UACGUAGGUGGCAAGCGUUGUCCGGAUUUACUGGGCGUAAAGGGUUCGUAGGUGGCCCGCUAAGUCACACGUGAAAUCCCUCAGCUUAACUGGGGAACUGCGUGUGAGACUGGCGGGCUUGAGUGCAGGAGAGGAACGCGGAAUUCCAGGUGUAGCGGUGAAAUGCGUAGAUAUCUGGAGGAACACCGGUGGCGAAGGCGGCGUUCUGGACUGUAUCUGACACUGAGGAACGAAAGCCAGGGGAGCAAACGGG
Molecule: ribosomal RNA, 253 nt
Filed under: uncultured bacterium
Lineage: Bacteria
Description: partial 16S ribosomal RNA
Rfam family: Bacterial small subunit ribosomal RNA
Source: RNAcentral